This 393-nucleotide ribosomal RNA is filed under the name uncultured bacterium. RNAcentral's name for it is "bacterial SSU rRNA". It matches the Rfam family "Bacterial small subunit ribosomal RNA", at positions 505 to 898 of the family's 1533-position model. The record is from RNAcentral.
GUGUCAGCCGCCGCGGUAAUACGUAGGCAGCAAGCGUUGUUCGGAGUUACUGGGCGUAAAGGGUGUGUAGGCGGCCGUUCAAGUUUGGUGUGAAAUCUCCCGGCUCAACUGGGAGGGUGCGCCGAAUACUGAAUGGCUCGAGUGCGGGAGAGGAGAGUGGAAUUCCUGGUGUAGCGGUGAAAUGCGUAGAUAUCAGGAGGAACACCGGCGGUGUAGACGGCUCUCUGGACCGUAACUGACGCUGAGACACGAAAGCGUGGGUAGCAAACAGGAUUAGAUACCCUGGUAGUCCACGCCCUAAACGAUGCACAUUUGGUGUGGGUCAUUCAGUUGAUCCGUGCCGGAGCUAACGCGUUAAAUGUGCCGCCUGGGGAGUACAGUCGCAAGGCUGAA